Molecule: ribosomal RNA, 1323 nt
Filed under: metagenome
Description: bacterial LSU rRNA
Rfam family: Bacterial large subunit ribosomal RNA
Source: RNAcentral
AAAAGGCAAUGGAGGACCGAACCCACAUCCGUUGAAAAGGGUGGGGAUGAGGUGUGGAUAGGGGAGAAAUUCCAAUCGAACCCGGAGAUAGCUGGUUCUCCUCGAAAUAGCUUUAGGGCUAGCCUCGUAUUAGUCUAGUGGAGGUAGAGCACUGAAUUUCCUAGGGGGCGUCAAAGCUUACCGAAGAAUAUCAAACUCCGAAUGCCAUAUAGAUGAUGUACGGGAGUCAGACUGCACGAGAUAAGUUGGGCAGUCAAAAGGGAAAGAGCCCAGACCGCCAGCUAAGGUCCCAAAGUGUGUGUUAAGUGGAAAAGGAUGUGGGAUUUCGAAGACAACUAGGAUGUUGGCUCAGAAGCAGCCAUACAUUAAAAGAGUGCGUAAUAGCUCACUAGUCGAGAGGUCCUGCGCCGAAAAUGUCCGGGGCUGAAACACAACACCGAAGCUGCGGAACCCGCAAGGGUUGGUAGAGGAGCAUUCUUAAAGGAACGAAGCAGUACCGAAAGGAGCUGUGGACUUUUAAGAAGAGAGAAUGCCGGAAUGAGUAGCGAGAGUAAGGUGAGAAUCCUUACGGCCGAAUAUCCAAGGUUUCCAGGGUAAAGCUGAUCUGCCCUGGGGAAGUCGGGACCUAAGGCGAGGCCGAGAGGCGUAGCCGAUGGACAACAGGUUGAGAUUCCUGUACUACAGUAUGACAGAACUGUGGGGACGCAGAAGGAGAGCACUACCUGGAAUGGAAUCCAGGGGCAAGCACAGGAGGGGUACGGCUGGAAAAACCGCCGUGCAACCCAAAGGUGUGACGCAUACCGAACUAAAGUAGGGAAAUGUGUGAGCCGGCUGCCGAGAAAAGCCGCUAUUGUUUGUACUGUACCCGUACCGUAAACCGACACAGGUGGAUGAGGAGAGAAUCCUAAGGCCGACGGAAGAAGCAUUGCUAAGGAACUCGGCAAAAUGACCCUGUAACUUCGGGAGAAAGGGUGCCUCGAAAGAGGCCGCAGAGAAUAGGCCCAAGCAACUGUUUAGCAAAAACACAGGUCUAUGCAAAACCGCAAGGUGAAGUAUAUGGGCUGACGCCUGCCCGGUGCUGGAAGGUUAAGGGGAGAUGUCAGGAGACGAAGCAUCGAACUUAAGCCCCAGUAAACGGCGGCCGUAACUAUAACGGUCCUAAGGUAGCGAAAUUCCUUGUCGGGUAAGUUCCGACCCGCACGAAAGGCGUAAUGAUUUGGGCGCUGUCUCGGCAAUGCAUCCGGUGAAAUUGAAGUGCCAGUGAAGAUGCUGGCUACCCGCGCCAGGACGGAAAGACCCCAUGGAGCUUUACUCCCGCUUCUU